Molecule: ribosomal RNA, 78 nt
Filed under: Bacillus cereus
Lineage: Bacteria; Bacillati; Bacillota; Bacilli; Caryophanales; Bacillaceae
Source: RNAcentral
GGUAAUGAUGGCAGAGAGGACACACCCGUUCCCAUACCGAACACGGAAGUUAAGCUCUCUAGCGCCGAUGGUAGUUGG